This 460-nucleotide ribosomal RNA is filed under the name uncultured bacterium. RNAcentral describes it as "partial 16S ribosomal RNA". It matches the Rfam family "Bacterial small subunit ribosomal RNA", at positions 338 to 795 of the family's 1533-position model. The record is from RNAcentral.
CCUACGGGCGGCAGCAGUGAGGAAUAUUGGUCAAUGGCCGGAAGGCUGAACCAGCCAUGCCGCGUGAAGGUCAGUGCCCUAUGGGCGUUAAACUUCUUUUGUGCGGGAGCAAUAAUGGUCACGUGUGGCCAGACGAGAGUACCGUACGAAUAAGCAUCGGCUAACUCCGUGCCAGCAGCCGCGGUAAUACGGGGGAUGCAAGCGUUAUCCGGGUUUAUUGGGUUUAAAGGGUGCGUAGGCUGUGAGGUAAGGCAGCGGGGAAAUGCCCCCGCUCAACGGGGUGAAGUGCCAUUGAUACUGCCUUGCUGGAAUGCGGAUGCCGUGGGAGGAAUGUGUGGUGUAGCGGUGAAAUGCAUAGAUAUCACACAGAACACCGAUUGCGAAGGCAUCUCACGAAUCCGCGAUUGACGCUGAUGCACGAAAGCGUGGGUAUCAAACAGGAUUAGAUACCCUUGUAGUC